CCCAUGAGAGGCAAGGGAGGGGACAUCCAAGGGUUGGUCCAGCACAGAAAGAUCCCCACCAAGGGCUGCUCACCUGCCCUGGGGACUCAGAACACACAUGACUCACCCCACUUGAGCUCAGACAGACGCCUCCCCAGGAAGCCCCAGGGUUGCGGCAUUGCACAGGGUGCACGGACCCCCUGAUGUCCCUGACCUCUUGCCAGCAUCCUCUGGCCCUGCAGAAGCAGCCAACAUGCCCGUCUCCAAGUGCCCGAAAAAGUCAGAGCCCCUGUGGAAGGGAUGGGACAAGAGGGCCCAGAAGAAUGGACUGAGGCACCAGGUGUACGCUGUGAACGGGGACCGCUACGUGGGCGAGUGGAAGGACAACCUGAAACACGGGAAAGGAACACAGGUCUGGAAGAAGAAAGGGGCCAUCUACGAGGGCGAGUGGAAAUUUGGGAAGCGAGAUGGCUACGGCACUCUCAGCCUUCCUGACCCGGAGACCGGCAAGUACAGGAAAGUAUACUCAGGCUGGUGGAAAGGCGAUAAGAAAUCGGGCUACGGGAUCCAGUUUUUCGGACCCAAGGAAUAUUACGAGGGUGAGUGGUGUGGCAACCAGCGCAGCGGGUGGGGCCGCAUGUACUACAGCAACGGCGAUAUCUACGAGGGCCAGUGGUGGAAUGACAAGCACGACGGGGAGGGCAUGCUGCGGCUGAAGAAUGGGAACCGCUACGAGGGCUGCUGGGAGAGAGGCAUGAAGAAUGGGUCAGGGCGUUUCUUCCACCUCGACCACGGCCAGCUGUUUGAAGGCUUCUGGGUGGACGACGUGGCCAAGUGCGGCACGAUGAUCGACUUUGGCCGUGAUGAGGCCCCUGCGCCUACCCAGUUCCCCAUUCCUCAGGUCAAAAUUCUAGACCCCGACAGUGUGCUGCAGGAAGCUUUGGCCAUGUUCAAGAAGACAGAGGAGGAGGAAGGACAGUGAUGCCGGGUGAGGGGGCAGGCGUGUCUGCCGCUCCCUGGGAGGUGGAGGCAGCCCUGGGGCUGGAACAAGCAGAUUCCUAGGGUCUCCAAAGUGCUCAGGUGUGAGACCAGAGAGGAGAACACUGAAGUUUCAGGAGGAGCUCAACUGUGUUACCCAACUGCUCAGACCGGUGUGGCUCCUGCUGCAGGGGUGAGCAGUGACUCUGGGCACGCCCUUGGCACCCUUCGAGGGCACCUCACUUCUCCCAGCACUAGAUUGUUCUUUACCAAUAGGGGGGCCAGUGCUUCUCUCUCCAGCUGGCCUUGGGGACCCUGUUGUUCUGGCCUUCAUUCUAUGACCUCAUCCCGAAGUGCGUGAGAAUAAAGGAACAACCUGGUGGCGUGA
This is an RNA transcript of Tupaia belangeri chinensis (Chinese tree shrew), 1345 nucleotides long. It is a transcript of the gene named MORN repeat containing 3, with no coding region annotated. The transcript has 6 exons. NCBI's taxonomy places the organism in Eukaryota, Metazoa, Chordata, Mammalia, Scandentia, Tupaiidae. The record is from RefSeq and is a predicted model, not a curated record.